This 737-nucleotide ribosomal RNA is filed under the name Pseudomonas sp. 120426_NH_C_B4. Its description in RNAcentral is "bacterial SSU rRNA". It matches the Rfam family "Bacterial small subunit ribosomal RNA", at positions 22 to 754 of the family's 1533-position model. RNAcentral also lists the same sequence under 1 other name. Lineage: Bacteria; Pseudomonadati; Pseudomonadota; Gammaproteobacteria; Pseudomonadales; Pseudomonadaceae. The record is from RNAcentral.
GCUCAGAUUGAACGCUGGCGGCAGGCCUAACACAUGCAAGUCGAGCGGAUGAAGGGAGCUUGCUCCCUGAUUCAGCGGCGGACGGGUGAGUAAUGCCUAGGAAUCUGCCUGGUAGUGGGGGACAACGUUUCGAAAGGAACGCUAAUACCGCAUACGUCCUACGGGAGAAAGCAGGGGACCUUCGGGCCUUGCGCUAUCAGAUGAGCCUAGGUCGGAUUAGCUAGUUGGUGAGGUAAUGGCUCACCAAGGCGACGAUCCGUAACUGGUCUGAGAGGAUGAUCAGUCACACUGGAACUGAGACACGGUCCAGACUCCUACGGGAGGCAGCAGUGGGGAAUAUUGGACAAUGGGCGAAAGCCUGAUCCAGCCAUGCCGCGUGUGUGAAGAAGGUCUUCGGAUUGUAAAGCACUUUAAGUUGGGAGGAAGGGUUGCUGAUUAAUACUCUGCAAUUUUGACGUUACCGACAGAAUAAGCACCGGCUAACUCUGUGCCAGCAGCCGCGGUAAUACAGAGGGUGCAAGCGUUAAUCGGAAUUACUGGGCGUAAAGCGCGCGUAGGUGGUUUGUUAAGUUGGAUGUGAAAGCCCCGGGCUCAACCUGGGAACUGCAUCCAAAACUGGCAAGCUAGAGUAGGGCAGAGGGUGGUGGAAUUUCCUGUGUAGCGGUGAAAUGCGUAGAUAUAGGAAGGAACACCAGUGGCGAAGGCGACCACCUGGGCUCAUACUGACACUGAGGUGC